Molecule: long non-coding RNA, 421 nt
Filed under: Chinchilla lanigera (long-tailed chinchilla)
Lineage: Eukaryota; Metazoa; Chordata; Mammalia; Rodentia; Chinchillidae
Description: lncRNA (ENSCLAG00000028569.1)
Source: RNAcentral
AUGUAUGGUGCCUGUGUGUGUGAACCAGGGUGCUACGGGAGGUUUUGUCAUCCGACUAAGUCACAAGCACUAAUUGUUUUCUGUGUGAAGCGUAACAGCUCAGAGAAGUAUGAACAACGUACCCGACUUCAAAGGGCAGAGGAGGAUCCAGUUUACGUGCCUGCUCUGAGGCCCUCUGGGGCCCAGAAUGCUGCUUCCCCUGUGGGUCCGGUGAGAACGGAGGUCAAUCGCAACAAAAAACCUGGUGACUGUGAUUGCGCUCCUGGUUACACAGGGAAACCCUGUGCCCGGAGUGAGAAACCUGGAAAGGAUAACCAACAGUCGAUACAACGGCUAGCUUCAUAAAUCCUCAUUUACCUAACUGGUAUACAAGGUACUGUUAUGUUAGCACAUAUUCCAGCAAUCUAUUGUGCAACAAGCC